AUACGUAGGGGGCAAGCGUUAUCCGGAUUUACUGGGUGUAAAGGGAGCGCAGGCGGCGCGGCAAGUCUGAUGUGAAAGCCCGGGGCUCAACCCCGGUACUGCAUUGGAAACUGUCGUGCUAGAGUGUCGGAGGGGUAAGCGGAAUUCCUAGUGUAGCGGUGAAAUGCGUAGAUAUUAGGAGGAACACCAGUGGCGAAGGCGGCUUACUGGACGAUAACUGACGCUGAGGCUCGAAAGCGUGGGGAGC
RNAcentral lists this ribosomal RNA (247 nucleotides) under uncultured bacterium. RNAcentral's name for it is "partial 16S ribosomal RNA". It matches the Rfam family "Bacterial small subunit ribosomal RNA", at positions 523 to 769 of the family's 1533-position model. The record is from RNAcentral.